UAGGGAAAUUAUAACGUUCGGCUUCGUGUUUUUUUUUUCUACCGUCCCAAUUCCCUAGCUUCCCGAGCGUCACCUUCACUUCACACCAUUGGCCAUUGUAUGGGGAGCACGAAAGAAUACCAAAAAGAAAAAAUCGCUCAAAGCACCAGCAAUUGGGGAUGAAAUACGUUUCCCUCCAGCGGGCAGCAGACAGUAUCAUUCCCUCAUUCACAAUAUCCUCGAAAUCCUCAUUAUCCAUCUUGCCUUUACCGGAACAAAUUCUAAGCGCAAAAGGAUCUCGGCCGCCGUGAUUUGAAAAGGAUAAAAAAUGGCCGUCCGAAAACAUUUAUCUUCCUCUCGUUUGCCAACGGAAAACAUGAACACAUCGGUCAGGGGUUGGGUUUGGCUAGUUGUUUUUUUAUACGCACGUUUGUCAUGUUUCUUUAUAGCGCCACAUGGCACGAAGCUGCAAUGACCUAUUGUUACGGUGAUAUACGGUGACUUGUGUUGUACCGUAAAUGAACCGAUUCGCUGGAAUUCGAUUUCAUAAUGCUUGUUUAUAGCUAUAGAAUAAGUGACAGGGUGUUUUUCUAAAGGGAAGAAAGCUUACCUGUCAUUGUCUCAACUUAUGCUCCACUUGCAAGGAUACGCGUCAUCUGAAAGAAGAAAAAGUUGUUGCAUCAAUAUUAUUUUUAAACAUUUUACUGAUAAAAUAAAGACAUGAACGGAACCUUACGGAACUUGAAUUCAAUAA
Anopheles stephensi (Asian malaria mosquito) is the source of this 733-nucleotide long non-coding RNA. RefSeq lists it as uncharacterized. The record is from RefSeq and is a predicted model, not a curated record. Lineage: Eukaryota; Metazoa; Arthropoda; Insecta; Diptera; Culicidae. The transcript is spliced from 2 exons.